AUGGACAUUCUGCCCAGGCGAGAGGUGGAUCAUCUCUGCCUGUCCCUGAGUGAGACCAUCCUGGCUGCAUGUUUUCUGUUCUGUGAAGGGACUUCUGCCUGAGGACUGCCCCUCUUCCUCCUCAUUGUCUGAAUCCUCCAGAGUUUCACCACUGGAGAAGUGGAUGAUCAUCUUCUGUUUGGACGAGGCAGGGCGCCCAGACUCCAUUACCUGACAGAUUGGACAGCUGUACUGUACGUUCAUCCACGCUGGAGUUAUCGGGAAAAAAACAACUACAGGACACAGGCUCAGUCUUGAAACCUGAGACAC
Long non-coding RNA from Monopterus albus (swamp eel), 309 nucleotides. RefSeq lists it as uncharacterized. The transcript is spliced from 3 exons. The record is from RefSeq and is a predicted model, not a curated record. NCBI's taxonomy places the organism in Eukaryota, Metazoa, Chordata, Actinopteri, Synbranchiformes, Synbranchidae.